CAGCCGCCACGGUAAUACGGAGGAUCCAAGCGUUAUCCGGAAUCAUUGGGUUUAAAGGGUCCGUAGGCGGUCUUGUAAGUCAGUGGUGAAAGCCCAUCGCUCAACGGUGGAACGGCCAUUGAUACUGCAGGACUUGAAUUAUUGGGAAGUAACUAGAAUAUGUAGUGUAGCGGUGAAAUGCUUAGAGAUUACAUGGAAUACCAAUUGCGAAGGCAGGUUACUACCAAUUGAUUGACGCUGAUGGACGAAAGCGUGGGUAGCGAACAGGAUUAGAUACCCCGGUAGUCCCUGUCUCUUAUAA
This 301-nucleotide ribosomal RNA is filed under the name uncultured bacterium. RNAcentral describes it as "partial 16S ribosomal RNA". It matches the Rfam family "Bacterial small subunit ribosomal RNA", at positions 509 to 809 of the family's 1533-position model. The record is from RNAcentral.